Molecule: long non-coding RNA, 5561 nt
Filed under: Nicotiana benthamiana
Lineage: Eukaryota; Viridiplantae; Streptophyta; Magnoliopsida; Solanales; Solanaceae
Description: long non-coding RNA (NBEN_LNC023227)
Source: RNAcentral
CGUACAUUGGAAUCAUCUGAAGAUAAUAUUUAACUCACCAGAAGGGUAAAUACAUCCAAACAUACAUACAUAUCUAUGUAGUCCGACAAGGUUGCCAUAAACAUCUACAACCAACAAUACUAAACUGAAUAUGUACACAUGGCCGACAAGGUCACAAUACUGACAUACAAAAUAUACAGGACUCAUCUAUAAGCCUCUGGAUAUAAGAAUAUUGUAUCAUGGUUGAAAUAGGGCCCUAACCUUCCCAUCAAGUCUAUAUAUACAAUGGACUCCAAAAUCUAGACCUGGCAACUCCGGGGAAGUGGAGCUUACCAACCAAGCUGAUAUCUAGCUAUGUCUAUUAGGAAGGUGUAUUCGGCUAUUUAUCAGAACCUGCAGGCAUGAAAUGCAACGCCACUGGCAAAAAGGGGUGUUAUUACGAAAUAAUAUAUUAAGUAUGUAAGGUAAUAAAAUAACUAAAAACUGAAAUUGAAUUGAAGUACAUAGUAAACUAGAAGGCAAAGAAUGAUAUAUAUACUCAUAUGUCCCGACUCAACACGAUGCAAUAUAGUAAUAUCAUAGCUAGCCGACCACAUAUAAGGCCUGAUGUAUCAGUCACUGACCAAGUAGUCAGGCAACAAUAAACUCUCACUAACCGUAAGGUCAGGCAAAUAUAAACUAUGAGUGAUCAUAAUGCCAGACAAUACUAUCUCUCACUGGACAAGUGGCUAGACAAUAAUAUCUAUCAUAUACAUAAGGCCAGGCAAUAGCAAUAUCUCAUUGACCAAGUGGCCAGGCUACAGAAAAAUAUAUACAUGUUGCUAUAUAUCAUGUAUAUAGAAGAACUUAGAGAUACAUAUGUAAUUCUCUAUCUUUGUCCUACAUCAUGGAGUAACAUAAAGUGAAUGGGAACCCCUUUCAAUAAGAUAGUAUGGAAGUAUACGGAAAGAUGCAACACUUAUUGAGACACGACUCUACAAUAUGCGUUUCUCAUAUAAGAUUCAUUCAACUCAUACUUACUAUGAAUUACGGAUUCAUGACAAUGAAAGGAAAGGGAUAACCAUUCCAUACCUUAUCACAAUCUGUUCAAUAACUAUGUUGAACUCGUUUCGUCGCACCUUAAUAUACAACAACGAUAAUAAUGCUGUUGUUAAGCUACAAAAUGUACAACUAUCGUACAACGAACGAUAAACCUAUUUUAUAUUAAAACGGGAAGCAUCUUCCCUGUUUUGGUUACAUUUCUCACUCCCUAUAUUGCAGCAACAACCCAAACAAUAACCAAUAGAUAUAUAAAAUGUCACACCUUCUUUUCCACUAUACACCCGCAAGGGCAUAAAGGAGUUUUUCCAAUUAAAGGACAAUCGGAACGGGAUUUGGUUAUUAAUUAUUCAGAGUCACCACUUGGGAGAUUUAUGGUGUCCCAAGUCACCAGUUUGAAUCCCCAACCGAGGAAAAAUAUGACUCUGUAACAGCCUGCGAACCAGAAAUCCGAGUAAGGAAUUCUGUUAACCCGGGAGAAGGUGUUAGGCAUUCCCGAUCAGAACGGGAUUUGGUUAUUAAUUAUUUCAGAGUCACCACUUGGGAGAUUAAUGGUGUCCGAAGUCACCAGAUUUAAUCCCGAAUCGAGGAAAAGUAUGACUCAGUAUUACAGUCUGUGAUCCAGAAAUCCGGAUAACGAAUUCUGCUAACUCGGGAGAAGGUGUUAGGCAUUCCCGGGUUCCGUAGUUCUAGCACGGUCGCUUAACUGUUGCAUUUGAUUUUAUCUGAUUUUAGUACAUGCUAACUUAUGUGUCUUUUAUUUAUAUACCGCUUUUACCAUUAUUUAUUUUAAAAGACUUGCAACGUCGUGAAAAUGCUCUCUGAACACGUCGCCAUCAAGGCACCCAUGGUCGUCAACACAUUUCGACUUCGUCGAGAUUUGGAUUUGGGUCGCAUCAAUGCGCACUCGAGUUUAAGAAAGUAAUUUAAUUAAUCGUGCUUAAGGGUUCUAGCGUAAUAUUAUUUUGGGAAAGGCCGUUGAAAUUUGCUUAACGGCCCUUCCAAAUUCUAAUCAUCUUUAAUAACCAAAAAGUAAUUUAAUUAAAUCGCGCUUAAAGGUUCUAGCGUAAUAUUGUUUUGGGAAAGGCCGUUGAAAUUAGCUAAACGGUCCUUCCAAAUUCUAAUCAUUUUUUAUAACCAAUUAAUGAGGGCCCCACAUUUAUUUUUGUUCGGUGAGGCUCGUCUGUGAAUAAAUUUUCGAUCAUUAUUUGUUUUAUAAGAAUUACGACGUCAUGAAAACGCGUUUCUAACCCCGUCGCCAUCAAGGCACCCGUGGUUAUCAACACAUUUCGACUUCGUUGAGAUUUGGAUUUGGGUUGCAUCAAUGCACACCCGAGUUUAAGAAAGUGCUUUAAUUAAAACGCGUCUAAAGAUUCUUGCGUAUUUUUACUUUGGGGAAGACCGUGAAAUUCGCUAAACGGCCCUCCCGAAUUCUAAGGAUGAAUACAAGCUCAAUUAAAAUGAGGGCCAUGCAAUUGUCGUUUUUUGUUUGGCAUGGCACACCUCGAUUCUAAUUUUAAAAGAGAUCCAAACUAAGCUUCGGAGGUCCAUAAACUAUUUGUAUGAUCUAAUAUGGCACACAUCCAAUCUACUUUUAAAAGACUUCAAAAAUUAGCUUCGAAGGCCACAGCCGUCGAUCAUUGAACUCCAACAAAUAAGAUCAGCCUUAGGACAAUCACUGAAAAUAGCCUUUUCUUGGCCUAUGCGUCCAAAUUUACAGUCCAUGCCCAUAUGUGAGGAAAUCAAAAAGGGAUUGGAUAUAUUUCCAAUUUUAAUCGCUUGUGAUCUCAUUUGACAAUUGCAUCUGCCGUCAUACAACAGAAGCAUUACUAAACAAUUCACUUUAGGCAUAUGCUGCAAUCAGCGCACUCCAGGCAGAUUGGAAGAAACAAAAACUCAUAAUAUGUUCAUACUAUGUCCAGGAUACAUUUAAACUUGUAGUGCUUUUUCAUGGAAUUGUGGCCAGCAGAUAAAAUCAUUCACAUAUUGAACAAUCAUGCAUACAUUUAAUUUGCACAAUUGAACUGAUGGGACAUUUAGUGCUUCAACUACCAAAUUAGAAAACUACUUUAAUUUCCAUUGCUAUUAACGUUUCAGCCUUAUUCUAACCUUGUUCAGAUUCAUAAACGUAUGAACACAUGGAGACAAAAAACAAACCACAUAACAGUUAACGAAUUGAGAGAAGCAGAAGCUGCAACAAAGAGUAAUUUUCCUUUUGUGUUCAGAGCUCCAGACAAAAUCGGAAACAGAUUACCGUGAAUAAAUCAAGGGAUCAACCAUUUUAAUCAUUAAAAUGAAAACAGAAUACAAGGGGUUUCAAACAUACCUAAUCAAACAGCAACAAAACGACUGAAAUAGGCCAAAUGAAGAGCCGAAAAACAGUUGCGAUUGUGAGAGCUCGGUCAAUUCUUUAGCAACAGCAGAAACAACGUGAUUUCCAACCUCAGCUUGAACACCCAGAGAUAUCGAAUUCAAUUUCUGAACUGUUUUUUUAGUACAAAAUCAAUUCCAGAUUCUAUUGUUUUCCUUCUUCUUUAAGUUUUUUUUUUCAGAUUUGGAUCUCCAUUUUUCUUUUAAUUUCUUGUGUAGAAGACCAGCACGUAAAAGGACUCGAAGCAAAGGUGGAUUAGAAUGCAGAGAUAAGAAAUGGCUCUCUCUAUUGCGUGUGUAUGAGAUGAAGCAGAAUAAUGGUUUUAAGAGAAAGGGAUCCGUUCUUCCGUCUAUUUUUCGUCCGUUUUCUUUUUUUUUAGAGUUUUUCGUCUCUUUUUUUUUUUUUUGUGUGUAUUUUAUCGUGUAUCUUUUUUGGUAGUUUUUCGUCAAUUCCUUUUGUGCUGUGUUGAAAUGAUUAUAUAAAGUGUAUGAAUAGGAUGUUAUGUAGGGGAGCUUUAUUCAGGGAGAAUGUGUUAUGUGAGAUAAUAUUUUGGUGGAACGUUAGGUGGGGAGAAAAAAUUUAGGAGGAAAAUAUUUUGAGAAGGUUCUUCCUUUUUUACUCCCAAUUGCUUUUUAUUUUCCUCUUCUUUUUUUGUAUUUUUUUUAUUAAUUUUGUAUGUUAUUUUCUGAUUUUAUUAAAUGUUAAAUUAAAAACCAAAACCAAAUUAACACUAAAAAUUAAAUUUUCUAUUAAAAUGCAAACUAAUACUAAUUCAAACUAAAAACGCAAAAGGUACUACUUUUGUUAUUUUCUUUCUAUUGUGUUCUAAAAUAAAUUAACCCUUAAUUAAUCCUAAAAUAUGAAAUUAGAUCCUAAAUGCAAAUGCGUAUUUUUGUAUUUUAUUAUUGCGAUUUUAAGAUAUUAAAAUGUAUGAAAUGAGACUACAAAAGAAAAAAUUUCUAAAAGAGCUAUUUUAUUUUAUUUUAUUAUUGUAAUUUUAAAAUAUUAAAAUGUAUAAAAUGAGACUACAAAAGAAAAAAACAUUCCUAAAAAAAUGAAUAAAAAUUAUUUUGACUUAUUCUUAGAAGUUAUCUUCAUGUAGUGCAAAACUCACAUGCUUGCACAGAAUAUAACAAGAACAAUAGUACACCGAGCGUCAAGCUCAGUUCAUAUCCAAUAAAACUAUAUUGUCAAACCGUUUCCCCCCUUAUUUUUCUAGAAAAAUAUUGAUAAUAACAACACUGUUAUAAAAUGAAAGCAAUUUAGUAAAACAUGAACAAGAAAUAUAAGCAACUUAGUGAAANNNNNNNNNNNNNNNNNNNNNNNNNNNNNNNNNNNNNNNNNNNNNNNNNNNNNNNNNNNNNNNNNNNNNNNNNNNNNNNNNNNNNNNNNNNNNNNNNNNNNNNNNNNNNNNNNNNNNNNNNNNNNNNNNNNNNNNNNNNNNNNNNNNNNNNNNNNNNNNNNNNNNNNNNNNNNNNNNNNNAUGUAUUUUCCUAAAAUAUGCACAAGAAAUAGAGAUAGAGAGAAGGAAGAGAUUUUGUUCUUCAAUUGUGUGUAUUUUCCUAUUUAUAACAAGGCAUUUAUAUAGGCAUAAAAAGAGAAGAAAAUAUGUCAUGGAAUAUGUCAUUGAAUAUGUCAUUAAGCAUUUGAGAUGAAGAUCAUGAAAGAUGAGUAGACAUCCAACAUAAUAUGAUAUUUAUCAUAAUAAACACAAUAUACUCAGGUUAUUCCAUUAACUUUUCAGGCAUAAAAUGUUGCAAGAACACUGCUCAAGUAGUCCAACAAUCGAUAACAACAUAUCUACAAUUUUCAAAUUACUAGAAACAUAUUUUCAAUUUCUCUUUUCUUUCAAAUCAAAUCAAGUAACACAACCAAGCUACAAUUCAUAGAAGCUUAGACAAAGGAAGGAGAAGCAUAAACUCACCUCACACCACUUAGAAUCAGCCGAAACUUAGGAUUACCCCACCUUGAAUUAACCUUCAAUGCAGCCACAAGAAAGAGGAAAAGAACUAGCAACCACCUUGGGUUUCUUCAUCACUAGAAUCGCCUUUGAAUUCCUUGGAAUCACGUAGGGUUUGUGUGAAGUUUGUAGGGAUUUAUUCUAUGAUUAUAUGCUCUAAAAAUGAGUAGAAUAAUGAAUAAAAUCAGCCCUUAAUGCGCGGCUCAACUAGCC